CGUGCUAUUUAAUUGAUCAAACACGUUUGGUCAAUUAUUUUAUUGACCAAACACGUUUGGUCAAUUAAAUUGGCACU
Molecule: non-coding RNA, 77 nt
Organism: Paramuricea clavata
Lineage: Eukaryota; Metazoa; Cnidaria; Anthozoa; Malacalcyonacea; Plexauridae
Source: the annotation of a GenBank genome assembly